This 422-nucleotide ribosomal RNA is filed under the name uncultured bacterium. Its description in RNAcentral is "bacterial SSU rRNA". It matches the Rfam family "Bacterial small subunit ribosomal RNA", at positions 355 to 774 of the family's 1533-position model. The record is from RNAcentral.
UAGGGAAUAUUGGGCAAUGGACGGAAGUCUGACCCAGCCAUGCCGCGUGCAGGAAGAAGGCGCUCAGCGUUGUAAACUGCUUUUAUCGGGGGAGAACGGCAGUCCUGCGGGAUUGUGUGACGGUACUCGAGGAAUAAGCACCGGCUAACUCCGUGCCAGCGGCCGCGGUAAUACGGAGGGUGCGAGCGUUGUCCGGAUUUAUUGGGUUUAAAGGGUGCGUAGGUGGUUGAGUAAGUCUGGUUUGAAAGUCAGUCGCUUAACGAUUGAGGGUGGCUGGAUACUGCUGAACUUGAAUGCCCUGGAGGUAGGUGGAACGGGCUGUGUAGCGGUGAAAUGCAUAGAUAUGUUAUAGAACACCGAUUGCGAAGGCAGCUUACUAAGCAUAUAUUGACGCUGAGGCACGAAAGCGUGGGUAGCGAACA